GUACAAGGAAUCCUCCUGUCUGGAACUACAGGCACAAGAUGAUUUUUCACCUAGUGGAGUCAUUGAACAGUGGUCUUCAAAUUGGGAUUAUUUCCAAGAAUAGAUUAAAAUGCCAUGAAAAAGAAAAAAUUAUAGAAAAGCAAAAAGAGCUGAAUGCAGUGAAUGAACAUCUGUGAAUGAAGUUGAGAAGGUAUAUGUGGGGCAGACUAGAAUUGCAGUGCACAGAUACAAGAAUGUUGCCUGCUUUGGAGCCAAGACUGCCUUCCGGAUAAAGGGCCCACAGAGAGCUGAGAGCUGUGUAAUACCUCAAAGACUGAAGAAAAGAGUUAGACAGCCAUCUUUCCUUAGAGGAUUUUGCUGCAGACAGCUUGAACUACCAGAAGGUUAUAUACUGACCAUGGGUAGAGUAAGGAAGAAAUACAUCCUUCGGAAAGGACAAUGAAGAUCUUUACAGCAGGGAGGUGAGGACAAAGUGAUUCUCCCUUCUGGAGGAUGCAGCAAAGUGCUGCCUGCCAUCUUGGAAGCACAGAGUAGCCUUCACCACACUCUAAUCCCAUCAGAGCCUUGAUCUUGGACUUGCCAGCCUUCAGAACAGUCUUGCCUCAUCACUGCCAUGACAGGGGGGUCCAAUGUGAGGAUUCUGGUGUCUAUGCCAAGCAUCUCUUUUCCAACGUAGAUCUGAUUUCUUAACAUAGCCAACAGCAAGUCAACAUCAGCUUUGCAGAGAAAAGCAGGGAUGCGUGUGCACAAAGAAAAGGCCAUGUGAGGACAUAGCAAGAGGGAAGCUGUCCGCAAGCCAAGGAAAAAGGCCUCAGGAGAAACCAAAUCUGCCAAUACAUUGAUCUUGGACUUCCAGCAUUCAGAAAUGGAGACUUGUAUUUUCUGACAUUCAACUUAAUCGAAGAAUAAAGCUUUAACAGUGGCAUCAGUGACAUGAUGAAUGAUGCAUCAUUUUGAAGUAAUAAUGGUUUUCCCAGUGACUCAGAAAUAGCAGUAUGUUCAGAUUCAGUGUGCCUGUUCAUGAGAGCUCUGCAGAAAUUGCACAUCUGGCUCUUUGCCUGUGCACCUGAAGUUAUCUCAGGAGAAAUUAUACAAAUUAAAUACAGACACAGAGAAGGUCUUUUUUAAUUCAAAGGAAAAGAAUAUAUAUUCAAGAAAAGCAAAAAAGGUAAGAGAAAAGGUAAGGGACUGUAGUGAUAUUAAGCUAGGAAACUAACAAAAUGAUGA
This 1227-nucleotide long non-coding RNA is filed under the name Homo sapiens (human). RNAcentral describes it as "novel transcript". Lineage: Eukaryota; Metazoa; Chordata; Mammalia; Primates; Hominidae. The record is from RNAcentral.